UGGGAGUGUCAGGCCAUGGAAAUGAUAGU
RNAcentral lists this non-coding RNA (29 nucleotides) under Homo sapiens (human). The record is from RNAcentral. Lineage: Eukaryota; Metazoa; Chordata; Mammalia; Primates; Hominidae.